This 468-nucleotide ribosomal RNA is filed under the name uncultured bacterium. RNAcentral's name for it is "partial 16S ribosomal RNA". It matches the Rfam family "Bacterial small subunit ribosomal RNA", at positions 28 to 507 of the family's 1533-position model. The record is from RNAcentral.
GACGAACGCUGGCGGCGUGCUUAACACAUGCAAGUCGAACGGAAAGGCCCUGCUUUUGUGGGGUGCUCGAGUGGCGAACGGGUGGGUAACACGUGAGUAACCUGCCCUUGACUUUGGGAUAACUUCGGGAAACUGGGGCUAAUACCGGAUAGGAGCUCCUGCUGCAUGGUGGGGGUUGGAAAGUUUCGGCGGUUGGGGAUGGACUCGCGGCUUAUCAGCUUGUUGGUGGGGUAGUGGCUUACCAAGGCUUUGACGGGUAGCCGGCCUGAGAGGGUGACCGGCCACAUUGGGACUGAGAUACGGCCCAGACUCCUACGGGAGGCAGCAGUGGGGAAUAUUGCACAAUGGGCGGAAGCCUGAUGCAGCAACGCCGCGUGCGGGAUGACGGCCUUCGGGUUGUAAACCGCUUUCGCCUGUGACGAAGCGUGAGUGACGGUAAUGGGUAAAGAAGCACCGGCUAACUACGUG